This 29-nucleotide non-coding RNA is filed under the name Rattus norvegicus (Norway rat). Lineage: Eukaryota; Metazoa; Chordata; Mammalia; Rodentia; Muridae. The record is from RNAcentral.
UGGACAUUGCAAUAGGAAUCGUUUCAUGC